Molecule: ribosomal RNA, 194 nt
Filed under: uncultured bacterium
Lineage: Bacteria
Description: partial 16S ribosomal RNA
Rfam family: Bacterial small subunit ribosomal RNA
Source: RNAcentral
GCAACUCGCCUGCAUGAAGUCGGAAUUGCUAGUAAUCGCGGAUCAGCAUGCCGCGGUGAAUACGUUCCCGGGCCUUGUACACACCGCCCGUCACACCAUGGGAGAUGGAUAUGCCCAAAGUCAGUGACCUAACCGCAAGGGAGGAGCUGCCUAAGGUGGAGCCAUUAACUGGGGUGAAGUCGUAACAAGGUAUC